This 449-nucleotide ribosomal RNA is filed under the name uncultured bacterium. Its description in RNAcentral is "partial 16S ribosomal RNA". It matches the Rfam family "Bacterial small subunit ribosomal RNA", at positions 29 to 523 of the family's 1533-position model. The record is from RNAcentral.
AACGAACGCUGGCGGCAUGCCUAACACAUGCAAGUCGAACGAGAUCUUCGGGUCUAGUGGCGCACGGGUGCGUAACGCGUGGGAAUCUGCCCUUUGGUUCGGAAUAACAGUUGGAAACGACUGCUAAUACCGGAUGAUGAUGAAAGUCCAAAGAUUUAUCGCCAGGGGAUGAGGCCGCGUAGGAUUAGCUCGUUGGUGGGGUAAAGGCGUACUAAGGCGACGAUCCUUAGCUGGUCUGAGAGGAUGAUCAGUCACACUGGGGCUGAGACACGGACCAGACUCGUAAGGGGGGCAGCAGUGGGGAAUAUUGGAGAAUGGGGGAAAGGCUGAUCCAGCAAUGCCGCGUGAGUGAUGAAGGCCUUAGGGUUGGAAAGCUCUUUUACCCGGGAUGAUAAUGACAGUACGGGGAGAAUAAGCUGCGGCUAACUCCGUGCCAGCCGCCGCCGUAA